GAUGAACGCUGGCGGCGUGCCUAAUACAUGCAAGUCGAACGGAGUUGUGUUGAAAGCUUGCUGGAUAUACAACUUAGUGGCGGACGGGUGAGUAACACGUGAGUAACCUGCCUCUCAGAGUGGAAUAACGUUUGGAAACGAACGCUAAUACCGCAUAAGCCCACAGCUCGGCAUCGAGCAGAGGGAAAAGGAGUGAUCCGCUUUGAGAUGGCCUCGCGUCCGAUUAGCUGGUUGGUGAGGUAACGGCCCACCAAGGCGACGAUCGGUAGCCGGACUGAGAGGUUGAACGGCCACAUUGGGACUGAGACACGGCCCAG
Molecule: ribosomal RNA, 317 nt
Filed under: uncultured bacterium
Lineage: Bacteria
Description: bacterial SSU rRNA
Rfam family: Bacterial small subunit ribosomal RNA
Source: RNAcentral